UCCGUAGGUGAACCUGCGGAAGGAUCAUUACCGAGUUGAUUCGAGCUCCGGCUCGACUCUCCCACCCAAUGUGUACCUACCUCUGUUGCUUUGGCGGGCCGCGGUCCUCCGCACCGGCGCCCUUCGGGGGGCUGGCCAGCGCCCGCCAGAGGACCAUAAAACUCCAGUCAGUGAACUUCGCAGUCUGAAAAACAAGUUAAUAAACUAAAACUUUCAACAACGGAUCUCUUGGUUCUGGCAUCGAUGAAGAACGCAGCGAAAUGCGAUAAGUAAUGUGAAUUGCAGAAUUCAGUGAAUCAUCGAAUCUUUGAACGCACAUUGCGCCCCUUGGUAUUCCGAGGGGCAUGCCUGUUCGAGCGUCAUUUCAACCCUCAAGCUCUGCUUGGUAUUGGGCCCCGUCCUCCACGGACGCGCCUUAAAGACCUCGGCGGUGGCGUCUUGCCUCAAGCGUAGUAGAAAAACACCUCGCUUUGGAGCGCACGGCGUCGCCCGCCGGACGAACCUUUGAAUUAUUUCUCAAGGUUGACCUCGGAUCAGGUAGGGAUACCCGCUGAACUUAAGCAUAUCAAUAAGCGGAGGA
RNAcentral lists this ribosomal RNA (580 nucleotides) under Neofusicoccum parvum. Its description in RNAcentral is "eukaryotic LSU rRNA". The stretch from base 209 to 362 matches the Rfam family "5.8S ribosomal RNA". Lineage: Eukaryota; Fungi; Ascomycota; Dothideomycetes; Botryosphaeriales; Botryosphaeriaceae. The record is from RNAcentral.